AUGACUAGAGAUAAUUUGCAGAAAAGAAUGAUGAACAAACCAUUGGGAUGUGUUUUCUGUGCUGAAAAUGAAAGUGUACCGCACCUUUUCUUUGAUUGUUUGGUGGCCAAGCUGGUUUGGAAAGAAGUUAGACAUUUAUUCCCCAGACCAGUGGGCACUAGUGUAGAAUCUAUUUCUUCCUGUUGGGUUGCUGGAAAGAAACUUGACUCAUUUAAUACCAUUGUAGCUGCCACCCUCUGGGCUCUGUGGAAGCACAGGACUGGCAUGGUGAUUAAUGGCGUCGUUUGGCUGUCAUUGAAACAGAUUAGGUCGAAGACUUUAAGAACAAUCAGAAGAUGGCGCCUGAUCUUCAAGGAACACACGAUGGAACAAACAGACCUGUUCUGCCAGCAUCUUCAGAGCCUGGUGGGGAGAACGAAGGAAAUGGAGUGGGGGUGA
This 438-nucleotide ribosomal RNA is filed under the name Triticum aestivum (bread wheat). RNAcentral's name for it is "partial small subunit ribosomal RNA". Lineage: Eukaryota; Viridiplantae; Streptophyta; Magnoliopsida; Poales; Poaceae. The record is from RNAcentral.